UACGAAGGGGGCUAGCGUUGCUCGGAAUCACUGGGCGUAAAGGGUGCGUAGGCGGGUUUUUAAGUCAGGGGUGAAAUCCUGGAGCUCAACUCCAGAACUGCCUUUGAUACUGAAGAUCUUGAGUCCGGGAGAGGUGAGUGGAACUGCGAGUGUAGAGGUGAAAUUCGUAGAUAUUCGCAAGAACACCAGUGGCGAAGGCGGCUCACUGGCCCGGUACUGACGGCUGAGGCACGAAAGCGUGGGGAGCAAACAGG
Molecule: ribosomal RNA, 254 nt
Filed under: uncultured bacterium
Lineage: Bacteria
Description: partial 16S ribosomal RNA
Rfam family: Bacterial small subunit ribosomal RNA
Source: RNAcentral